This is a long non-coding RNA of Nomascus leucogenys (northern white-cheeked gibbon), 2547 nucleotides long. RefSeq lists it as uncharacterized. The record is from RefSeq and is a predicted model, not a curated record. NCBI's taxonomy places the organism in Eukaryota, Metazoa, Chordata, Mammalia, Primates, Hylobatidae. The transcript has 3 exons.
ACAGUUCCCUUUUGCCUCCAGAGUUAUUUUUCCUUUUGCUCUCCUCUUUAUUUAUUUUCUUACCCCAUUCUCCCUUUUCUUUCCUUUUCGCCCUCCCAAGCUGUCAACAACAGCUCCCCUAGACUCUGCCUAGCACAGAAUUUUGCUGAUUUCUGAGAAAUUCAAGAGGCAAACCUGCAGGGCAAAGAAACUCUACAUGGUGAAUUGGUACCUGACCUUCUUUCGUAAGAGGGAAAACUGGGGCGUGGAACUUGUCAGUGGAGCUCAGCGUGCUACAAGAGCAGCUUGGUUUGUCCUAGUUGAGGACUGGAAAAUCUCAAUCUCUAGUCAACAAACGAGUGUUCCUACCCAGGGAUGGCCUGCUUCCGAAGAGGCACAGUGCUUUGGCAUAGCCCGCAAGAGCAAGCAUCAGCCUGGGAAGAGGACUGAUCCCACACCCACCCAUCCACUCAUUUAUUCAGUGCUCCACAUAUCGCCAAGUGCCUUCUAUGUGUCAGGCAAGGCUGAGACCUGGCUCCCACUCAUGGCGGCUAGGUGGUGAAAACUCAGCUCCUUUGCCCCUAGAAUGGUCAGGAAGAGCCCCAUGCAGCCCCAUUAAGAAGGGGCAGAAUGAAGGAGCUGCUUCCUCUUAAUGACAUUGUCCAAGAAUGACCAUGCUCUUCAAUGAUGCUCCAUCCAGCCCGGCAUUGUGCAGCUAUGUGGAUGUUAUUAUUCUAUCUUGUGAAAGGACACGGUGAAUGCUGGAAUCAGUGAAUCACCCAAAGAAAUGAGAGGUGGAGUGGGUGGGCGGGUGGAGCCAGCAAGCUAGAGUUGUCCUUUGUCCUCAGAGGCAGCUUUGGCCGUAGUACUGGGUUUGAAGGGACGUGGAAGUGACACGUACCACCACUGGGCCAUGGCCUUAUGACAUUGGGCACUUGCUCCUCUAUCCUCUCAUCUCCCUUCCUGUGGGCUGGGAUGCAUGGGCAGUGUGACCCAGCCUUCAUCAUGCCUGUGAGGCUAACACUGGGGAUGCCAGGACCUGAGAUGGAGAACCUGGGUCCCCAAAGAGUGUGUGAAGUGGAACCUGCUGCCAGUCUAGACUGCUCACCUCUCCUGUGUGUGAGGCAAACACACUUCUAUCUUAUUUAAGCCACUGACUUCUUGGGCCACUGUUACAGCAACUUAGCCUUUGCCCUACUAAUACAAAGGGGUGAAAGAGCAGCGCUCUCUUUCUUUCCUGAGUUUAGAACCAGUUAAGAGGAUAGUGGACCCAGAAAGAUGCAGAGCAAAAUACUGUGUCUGUUACUGGUAACACUGGGCUGGAAAAUGCAGCAUCGAAGCUGUGGCCAUGCAGGCUUGCUAAUACCUCGCUUUCGAGUUAGACCUACCUGCCUAGUCCCUGGCACAGACGACAGCUGCUGGUACUGGGGGCAUAUGAAGGGGAAGAAAUGGUGCCUCCAGGAAGGAGAGAAGAGGCUGAGCCGAGGAGCCUUGUUUUUUUCCCUCCCAAACUCACCAAUCAGAUAGAUCUUUUCUCCUCUUCUGGGCAGAGUAGGAGAGGCAGGUGGGGAGAGGUGAGGAGGUUACCAUAGUUGAAGGCCUCUCCCAGAAUGUGAAGAAUGGCGAGCCCCCCUCACAGGGCAAAUGCCCUGCAGUGGGCACUGGUGGUGUUGCUACCAAGGCCCCUAUGCAGGAGUUAGACCACUGAGCAUUCUCUAAUCUUGGGUGAAUCUGCUGGAGGGUUUCAAACAGGGGUUUGGGAUGGGUCAUCAUCAAAUAGUUUCAUGAAAAUCACCUCUGUUCCUCCAUUUCUGAUGACUUAUCGGUGAGCACGCUGGCAUGUGUGGGGCACAAAGACUUUCAGGUGUGCAGAUGGGUGUGCAUAUUUCCAUGGAGGGAUGAGUGCAAGAAGGAGCAGGUCUUCUCCUUUCUUAGAUCAAUGAGUUUUUGAGAUGUGUGAAUGUCUACAUGUUUUGUUUUUCAUUUCAGGAGCCCAGAUAUAUUUAAUACUUUUGGUAUUGGGGCUAUUGAUAAAGACGAACAUCUUUCUAGGGCUAACAAAGAGCAAGGCCGCAGGCGCUGCACAUGUUCAGGCCUCAGCAUCUCUAAACCAGAGAUUGUGCAGCCCUGGUACUGGUUUCCCUGUCUCUGCUAUCUAACCCUCUUUAACACAGUGGUAGCAGAGUGUCCUUCUAAGACCAGGUCUGACGUUAUUCACCUUCUCCAAAACCUCUAAGGGCUUCCCAUGUCCUAAAACAUGAAGUACAAAUCUCUUGUGUGGCAUUAAAAGCUUGCUCUGAUGUGGCCUCAGUGGACAUUUCCAGCAAUAAUUCCCCUUGGCCCACUUUAAGUUUUGCUCCACACUCUAGUCAAGCUGAAGUACCUUCCCUGCUUCCCUCCCUCCCUCCCUCCCUUCCUUUCUUCCUUCCCUCCCUCAGCAUUGGGAAAGACCUCAACAUCUUGGAUUAUGUAAUAGUCUCCUAAGGGGUCUCACUGCUUCUACUUUGACCCCCCUAUUGUCUAUUCUUACCUCAGCAACCAGACCAAUCCUGUUUAAAACCUAAGCCA